GCAGUGGUAGCUCAGUUGUAGAAUUAUUGCCUUCCAUGCAGAAGACCCAGGUUCAAUUCCUGGCCGGUGCA
RNAcentral lists this transfer RNA (71 nucleotides) under Loxodonta africana (African savanna elephant). It matches the Rfam family "tRNA". From Rfam's summary of the family: Transfer RNA (tRNA) molecules are approximately 80 nucleotides in length. Their secondary structure includes four short double-helical elements and three loops (D, anti-codon, and T loops). Lineage: Eukaryota; Metazoa; Chordata; Mammalia; Proboscidea; Elephantidae. The record is from Rfam by way of RNAcentral.